Long non-coding RNA from Polyodon spathula (Mississippi paddlefish), 2874 nucleotides. RefSeq lists it as uncharacterized. The record is from RefSeq and is a predicted model, not a curated record. The transcript is spliced from 2 exons. Lineage: Eukaryota; Metazoa; Chordata; Actinopteri; Acipenseriformes; Polyodontidae.
CUGAGUUUUUGUAAUCGUCCCAGACCAUAAUUAACCUUUUUUGUAUAUCUAUAAUAAAUACAUCUUAUGGAGAUUAGAUGUCUCGUUUGUUUAGUAGUGCUUAUUCACCUUUUAGUGUAUUUCUAUCUUAUAGUUAAUUGGGUUUUCUUUUUGUAUUUAAGCAUAUUACGUGUGGAAUUUCCAGGACCCUUUUCAAAGUACUUAAUGCGUCAAUUGCAGUGAACUUGAGAACGUUUUAGUCCUUAGCUGUGCACGAAAUUCGGUUGCAGUUAGUACGGUAGUACCAGAAGAGAUUUCUCGGGUGAAUACUGUGCUUUCUUAAUUCUAACUGCAGGUAACGGAUACCAGCUUUGCGAAAAACGUUUUAAAAUAGUAUUUAAUGGCUUAAAUUGAUUUGAACUUGUCCGUGCAGCGUGUAAUUUUAUGUUCAUCUACUAAGGAUUGUGUCUAGAAACUUGGGUUCACUGCCGUUGGGAUUAAACUACGAAAAAUGUUUAACUUUUCUCGGUGUUUAAACAAUGUGAUUUUAUUUCCUUUUAAAGCAUGUAUGUUUAAAUAUUUGCUACAACAGUAGUUAAUUUUUACAUGGACAGUAGUUGGUGUAUUGUAUCUGCGCACACCCGAGCUUCAAACAAUUCAGAGGAUUUGGCAAGACUAUGGCAAGACUUAUUCAAAGUUUCACAGACUUAAAUCAUUUAAACAAAAUGGACUCGAGGGAUUCAAUUGUAAGAGCAAUUCAUCUUCGUACACCUUUUAAUGUCUCCUUGUAUAAUUCUUAGUACAAAAUCUCUUAGUAUUGUUAAUAAGAAAUACUGGUAAAUUGUAUGUCUCUUCCCCCCCCCCCCCCCCCCCCCCAUUUAAAAAAAAUAAAUAAAUAAACGUUUUAUUAAAUCGACAAAUAGAAAGGUUAACUUUAUUUCAGCCUUGACAUGUUUUCAGUUAUGCAUGCUUUGAGUUAUGACAUUUUUUAAAUUGGUGCAUAUUGGAAACAAAGGUAGGUAAUAUUUCCUUCACAGCGAAAGUACAUCAGUGUGUUUCACAAAGCUGUACAUUCCAUGACAAAUACAGGUUUUGUACAUUGACAUUGCAAGUUGUACACAAAGUUUAACCUUUUAUACAAAUUGGUAUUUUAGAAAUACAGUGACAGACCUUUUAAAUAGAUUUUGUUGACAUUUGUAAUUUCAAUUUUUCUAUGUAAGCAGUGGUAAAAUACAUAGUGUGAAAAGAACAGCUUUGUUUGUACCAUACCGGUAAUAAAGUAGUUUUCUGGUCACAGACACCUGCACCACCUUGGCUCCAAAUCUUAAGUUGCAGUCUAUGGGUGCAAGGGGUUUUGACCACUGAUCAGAAGUUCUCCCCAAACCCGACUCUAUGAGGAGGCUUGCAGUUACUGAGGAAGCUCAUGUUCCUAUAAGCAUAGGAGUCUGUCUUGCGUGCAUACCGGCCCCCUAAUCCACUGCAUCUUUCCACAUUGAAAUGUGCCCUAGUUAGUAGUCCCUAAACACUUUUUUUUUUUUUUUUUUUUUUAUAAAAACUUAAUCUAAAGCUGUUUUAAAUACACUUCUGAAGCUGUUCUAUGGAAUUUAAAAUGAGGGAAGGAAAAGCUGUGUUUGCAUGAUCAAUAGCUCCUCAAAUUCCAUUCUAGCACAGUGUUGACUUAAAACAAUGUAUGUUUUGAAUUCUGGAAGGAGAAAAUUGCUUUAGACAACUAGCAAACCCCUCCCAAUUAACAGGUGGAGAGAAUUGCCUGAUCUUGCAUGCUUAAAUGAAUAAAAAAACAUAUGCGUCCCAUGUUUGUUUUUUACAUUCUUAUUAUGGUGGUUUUGUUGUGCACUAUGCUAUAUGUUUAACCAGAAUAUCUCUCAUUUCUUUAGCUAACUAUUGGAUGGCCAGGAUAGACGGUUCCUUACUGUAUCUUAUUAAUCGUCAAGUCUUUGUUUUGUGUUAAGCACGGUCUACAAAGCCUUGCUGUAUCUUAACACCAUUGUGUAUCCAAGAGCAUCCCUAUUGCAGCAAGUAUUAAAUAGUGAGUUCCAUUGUGGCUAUGCGUUCCAGGGGUGACUUGUUGCAUGAGCACCACAGAUUUUAUACCAGGAGAACAGAGCACUAACAUGCAAGGUUUGUGACUUUAGUUAUAUUUUACAAUACAGUUCAUGAUCACAAUUUAAAUGGUGUGCCUAUUUUAUUACUGUUACUUAUUACUUGUAGAACCUGAGCAUCUCUGUACUAUAUAUUGACUUAUAAAUCAGUGGUCUCCGCAUUGCUUCUAGAAAAUAGAUUUAAAUAUUGAAAGUGGAUAACCUAUUAAAGCUCUUUCCCAGUAAUGCUCCCAAUUUCCCAUCCCUUCAAAUAUGUGUUGCAUCUGUCUUUUCAGUAGCAUCAGCUACAGUAAUCCAAUCAUGACUUAGUCUGGCUUCAUUCUUUUAUUUUGUGUCCUGUCCCCCCCCCCCCCAUCUCCAGAUUUUGUCCAACCACUUUGCUGGGAACAAUCUACAACAGUUCAGAGAAGAGGCGCUGCUUGUGGAGAUCCUUAAAGUGCCAGUAUUGCCGAGGAACUACUCCCAGUUGUCUCUGUCCCUUCUGUUGGUACAGGUAGUCUGGUUUUAGGCAUCUUUACCUGUAUGGACUACGGCGCUUCCGUAAAAGACUUGUGUGCAACGCAGAUUCAGUACAGCAACUUGCCUCAGCUUGCUUCUUGAAGCUGCUGCCGCCUUCUUGAAAUGAUGGAAAUAUCAUGCUUCGGCCUCGGUUUUGUGAAUGCAAGCUCACUAGAGAGACUGAUUUACUUUUUAAAAUAUAUAUUGUGGUUUUAAUGUGUGUUGUGCAGAACAGAAUGUGGUAAAGCAAAAAAAAAUAAAAAUAACUUUGAAGAUA